Molecule: long non-coding RNA, 352 nt
Organism: Diceros bicornis minor
Lineage: Eukaryota; Metazoa; Chordata; Mammalia; Perissodactyla; Rhinocerotidae
Exons: 4
Source: RefSeq, a predicted model, not a curated record
GGACAGACCCUGGGCUAGCAGGCCCCAGGGAGAACUCCAAUGGUGUCUGUGUCAGCACGCCCACACCAGGCCACAACAAUGGCCGCCGGCAAUGUCCCAGUUCCUGGAGAGGUCUCACCUCUCACUAAGAUGCACUCAGAGCCUAUCAGAAUUUGGUUGAUCUUGCAGGCUGGGAAAGAGCUGAAAAAACAGGUGCUGAAGGUGUGAAACUCAAGGAAGGCUGUAAUAUAAAUCGUAGCUUAUUUGUUUUGCGACAAGUGAUCAAGAAACUUAGUGAUGGACAAGAUGGCAAAUUAACACGAAUUCUCCAGAAUUCCUUGGGAGGAAAUGCAAAAACAUGUAUUAUCUGCAC